AAUAAAGCUUAAUAGUUAGCCACUCCACUUCCACUGGAGAGACUUCUGUGCGAUUCAGAUUAUUUUGAAGG
This 71-nucleotide transfer RNA is filed under the name Poecilimon thoracicus. Its description in RNAcentral is "transfer RNA-Val". Lineage: Eukaryota; Metazoa; Arthropoda; Insecta; Orthoptera; Tettigoniidae. The record is from RNAcentral.